UGGCAACGAUGAUGACAGGAAUUGUCACUGCAUGUAAUGUCCCAUUACAGCGUGGAGACAGCAGUCCCUCUAAACUGACGUUGCCG
Molecule: small nucleolar RNA, 86 nt
Filed under: Merops nubicus (carmine bee-eater)
Lineage: Eukaryota; Metazoa; Chordata; Aves; Coraciiformes; Meropidae
Description: Small nucleolar RNA SNORD127
Rfam family: Small nucleolar RNA SNORD127
Source: Rfam by way of RNAcentral